UGCUCCCCAAAGCUCCCAUUCACGCUGGGGUGUGGGGAGGGGGGUGCCAUCCAUCAACCAAACCAGGAGUGACGUGGACAGGAAUCAAUCUGUGAUGGACAUGGUCCAAGCAGGUAGAGAGUGGGCGGGGACCCUGGCCCUCUGGGGGUCGAGGAAAGCUCCACAGAGGAGUGACAAGGAUGGACAACAGGAUGCUGAGCUGGGCUAGUGAAUGUCAGGUGGAGGGGAGGAAAAAAGGAGGAAAGGAGGGAGGAGAGGGGAAGGAGGAAAGAAGGAUCAUGGCAAGAAGAGACAAGGGAGGGAGGAAGAAAAGCCUGCCCUGGCGUCAGGAGCCCUUUGUUGAGGAGGCAAAGGGAAUCCCAGCCUAUCCCAGGCAUGAUGAGGGUGUGAGGAG
Molecule: long non-coding RNA, 394 nt
Filed under: Homo sapiens (human)
Lineage: Eukaryota; Metazoa; Chordata; Mammalia; Primates; Hominidae
Description: non-protein coding lnc-GPR20-7:1
Source: RNAcentral